Ursus thibetanus thibetanus is the source of this 125-nucleotide small nucleolar RNA. The record is from Ensembl. Lineage: Eukaryota; Metazoa; Chordata; Mammalia; Carnivora; Ursidae.
GUUGAGGUCUAUCCUGAUCGGCUUGUUCUGCAGACCCACAUCAUUGGAGAUGCCUCAUCAAAUGUGUUGUUUGCUUUACUCACAGAACUAUUUGUUAGGUCUGUGGAAAGAACUGUAAGAGAGAG